AUUUUUCUUCAUAUUAUCAGCGGAGGAAACAAGGCUUCUCUCUCGUGAAAGAAAAACAUGAGGUUGGAAUAUGUUAAGACCUUUACACAGUGUUAAAUUUGAGUAAGGUGUUUGCAUAAAAUCAUUUCCAUCACAUCCUGAUUAUGACUGGUUAUGUUUCAUUUUAUUAUUCCUUGUGUGUUUGGAAAGAGGUUCUGGUGAGAGAAUACAAAGGUAGUCUGUGUUGCAAAAGAAGCCCAAGGCUGUAGAUGGAAGAAUUGCAUAUGCAACUUUGCAAGAAACUUGGGGACAAGGAAAAUCUUGUCAGGUCAUGCAAGUGUUAUGCAAAAAAAGCUUUGGAAACACCCUCUACACAUGAUCGACCCCCAUGGGAAGCCAGUUUCAGGUGUCACUACCUCUGCUGCACAGAGGGCUUGCCUCUUUGUGGUUGUUCCCUCCAUGAAGAGACAGUACUGGUGAGAUGCAGGAGUCCCUGGGCUUGGAGAUAAAGGCAGGGCCCCUUGGUGGGUGGCCCAGGUCGAAGAGUGGCAGUCAGCUUAUGGUGCCGGGUAACGUUCUGGUAACACCCAAAGUGCCCGCUUCCUGGCCUGAAGCGCUCUCCUCCUCCACCCGACCGGAACCGAAGAGUGGCUGCAACGAGGUACUGAGGUCAGGACUGUCAGGGGCCUAUGCUGCUUGUGGCACGCAGCCUUUUUCCAGGCGCCGCCCCUGCCACCGUCUCCACCUUGUACCUGUGCGGCAGCAGCUGGACAGCGCCAACAUCGCGGCUCCCCAGCUGGGCAGACGAAAGCGCAUGCGCAAGCGGCCUGUCACAAGCGCCAGCGCUGAGCCCGGGCUCGCGUCACAGGAACAGCCACCGUUGCCUGGGGAACGAUCACAGUGGCUUCCCAAAGCAGCGGUCCUCUGUGGCAGUGCCUCAGCAUCGGGCAACGGACUCUUUCUCCGCGCGAUCAUCGCUGAGUCCUGCGAUUUUAGGAAUCCGGCAGGCCGAGCCAGGCAGAAGAAAGAUCUGUCGGGGCUUCAGGGAUGUCCACGGCGCUCCCCAGGAAUCACCGAGAUGCUGCAGACCUGCCCAAACAGUGUGAGGGUGCCUCUCGUUGAAAGCCCUCGUGACUGGGAUUUCCAGUCCGCUUACCUUGUGAUGUCGGUCAACGUUUGGCUCAGUUUGGGGCUGCGGCGCUCGGCAUUCUUCGUUUUCCUGGUUCUUCAAAAAGCCUCGGCGUAGUGGGGUCUGGCUGCCACCUGCAGGUGUCCUAAUCACCUGCUCAUUCCGAGGUGUGUCCCUCCUCGAGAAACAAGAAGGGUGCAACACACCUACAAUCAGUUUUCUCCAGGAUCCUUUGGUCCUGUCGCAAAUCUAAGGCUGUAGGGACCCAGCCGCCCCAUCCUCAUGACCCCUAGAGAGGCUCCAGGCUGUCCUUAAACUUAUGUGUAUUUCCUCUACUUAGGAUUCUUGUUAAAAGCCAGAUUGUUAUUCCUGAGUUGGGGUGAGCCUGAAAUUCUGUAUUUCUUGUAGGCACUCAGUGGAUGCCACUUAUUAGGGGUCCUGAUUGACAUUUGGAGAAGCAAGUCUCAGUAUUGUUUUUUUGAAGUUAGAUGUUGAAUCUGCAACUAAAAGUCUUUUCUGAAUAUCAUCUUCAUUUUUCUUCCUACUUACUUCCCUAAAAAAUUAAAAAACACUGAUUGCCAAAAUAAAAAGAAACAG
Callithrix jacchus (white-tufted-ear marmoset) is the source of this 1705-nucleotide long non-coding RNA. The record is from Ensembl. NCBI's taxonomy places the organism in Eukaryota, Metazoa, Chordata, Mammalia, Primates, Cebidae.